This 433-nucleotide ribosomal RNA is filed under the name uncultured bacterium. RNAcentral describes it as "partial 16S ribosomal RNA". It matches the Rfam family "Bacterial small subunit ribosomal RNA", at positions 29 to 507 of the family's 1533-position model. The record is from RNAcentral.
AACGAACGCUGGCGGCAUGCCUAACACAUGCAAGUCGAACGAGACCUUCGGGUCUAGUGGCGCACGGGUGCGUAACGCGUGGGAACCUGCCCUUAGGUUCGGAAUAACUCCCCGAAAGGGGUGCUAAUACGGGAUCAUGUCUUCGGACCAAAGAUUUAUCGCCUUUGGAUGGGCCCGCGUUGGAUUAGCUAGUUGGUAGGGUAAAAGCCUACCAAGGCGACGAUCCAUAGCUGGUCUGAGAGGAUGAUCAGCCACACUGGGACUGAGACACGGCCCAGACUCCUACGGGAGGCAGCAGUGGGGAAUAUUGGACAAUGGGCGAAAGCCUGAUCCAGCAAUGACGCGUGAGUGAUGAAGGCCUUAGGGUUGUAAAGCUCUUUUACCCGGGAUGAUAAUGACAGUACCGGGAGAAUAAGCGCCGGCUAACUCCGUG